This is a microRNA precursor of Oreochromis aureus, 65 nucleotides long. Lineage: Eukaryota; Metazoa; Chordata; Actinopteri; Cichliformes; Cichlidae. The record is from Ensembl.
ACACUCAGUGGACUUUUGGACGUUCUAGGAACAUUUAGGAGACGUUCCCUUUCCACAGAGUGUCU